AGGAUCAUUACCGAGUGCGGGCCCUCCGGGUCCAACCUCCCACCCGUGUCUACCGUACCUUGUUGCUUCGGCGGGCCCGCCAUCACGGCCGCCGGGGGGCGCUCUGCCCCCGGGCCCGCGCCCGCCGAAGACCCCCUCUCGAACGCUGUGUGAAGGUUGCAGUCUGAGUGGAUUAGCUAAAUCGGUUAAAACUUUCAACAACGGAUCUCUUGGUUCCGGCAUCGAUGAAGAACGCAGCGAAAUGCGAUAAGUAAUGUGAAUUGCAGAAUUCAGUGAAUCAUCGAGUCUUUGAACGCACAUUGCGCCCCCUGGUAUUCCGGGGGGCAUGCCUGUCCGAGCGUCAUUGCUGCCCUCAAGCACGGCUUGUGUGUUGGGCCGCCGUCCCCCUCCUGCCCGGGGGACGGGCCCGAAAGGCAGCGGCGGCGCCGCGUCCGGUCCUCGAGCGUAUGGGGCUUCGUCACCCGCUCCGUAGGCCCGGCCGGCGCCCGCCGACCACCCAACCCUUUUUCUCCAGGUUGACCUCGGAUCAGGUAGGGAUACCCGCUGAACUUAA
This 553-nucleotide unclassified non-coding RNA is filed under the name Penicillium sexuale. RNAcentral's name for it is "sequence contains 18S rRNA gene, ITS1, 5.8S rRNA gene, ITS2". The stretch from base 190 to 343 matches the Rfam family "5.8S ribosomal RNA". Lineage: Eukaryota; Fungi; Ascomycota; Eurotiomycetes; Eurotiales; Aspergillaceae. The record is from RNAcentral.